Molecule: small RNA, 122 nt
Filed under: Marmota monax (woodchuck)
Lineage: Eukaryota; Metazoa; Chordata; Mammalia; Rodentia; Sciuridae
Source: RNAcentral
GCCAGGUAUGGUGGUGCACACCUAUAAUCCCAGCUACCUGGGAGGCUGAGGCAGAAGGAUAGCAAGUUCAAAGCCAGCCUCAGCAAAAGUGAGGCACUUAGCAACUCAAGACCCUGUCUCUA